This 821-nucleotide ribosomal RNA is filed under the name Arthrobacter sp. PF96. RNAcentral's name for it is "bacterial SSU rRNA". It matches the Rfam family "Bacterial small subunit ribosomal RNA", at positions 75 to 907 of the family's 1533-position model. The record is from RNAcentral. Lineage: Bacteria; Bacillati; Actinomycetota; Actinomycetes; Micrococcales; Micrococcaceae.
UGUGCUUGCACAGAAUGAUUAGUGGCGAACGGGUGAGUAACACGUGAGUAACCUGCCCCUGACUCUGGGAUAAGCCUGGGAAACUGGGUCUAAUACUGGAUAUGCACCGUAGACCGCAUGGUUUUUGGUGGAAAGAAUUUUGGUCAGGGAUGGACUCGCGGCCUAUCAGCUUGUUGGUGAGGUAAUGGCUCACCAAGGCGACGACGGGUAGCCGGCCUGAGAGGGUGACCGGCCACACUGGGACUGAGACACGGCCCAGACUCCUACGGGAGGCAGCAGUGGGGAAUAUUGCACAAUGGGCGAAAGCCUGAUGCAGCGACGCCGCGUGAGGGAUGACGGCCUUCGGGUUGUAAACCUCUUUCAGUAGGGAAGAAGCGAAAGUGACGGUACCUGCAGAAGAAGCGCCGGCUAACUACGUGCCAGCAGCCGCGGUAAUACGUAGGGCGCAAGCGUUAUCCGGAAUUAUUGGGCGUAAAGAGCUCGUAGGCGGUUUGUCGCGUCUGCCGUGAAAGUCCGAGGCUCAACUUCGGAUCUGCGGUGGGUACGGGCAGACUAGAGUGAUGUAGGGGAGACUGGAAUUCCUGGUGUAGCGGUGAAAUGCGCAGAUAUCAGGAGGAACACCGAUGGCGAAGGCAGGUCUCUGGGCAUCUACUGACGCUGAGGAGCGAAAGCAUGGGGAGCGAACAGGAUUAGAUACCCUGGUAGUCCAUGCCGUAAACGUUGGGCACUAGGUGUGGGGGACAUUCCACGUUUUCCGCGCCGUAGCUAACGCAUUAAGUGCCCCGCCUGGGGAGUACGGCCGCAAGGCUAAAACUCAAAGG